This 499-nucleotide long non-coding RNA is filed under the name Marmota monax (woodchuck). Lineage: Eukaryota; Metazoa; Chordata; Mammalia; Rodentia; Sciuridae. The record is from RNAcentral.
UGAAUUUGCAACAGAGGAGGAAAAAAGAACCAAAACUUCCAAGGCCCUGCUUUUUUGCUUAAAAGUACUUUUAAAAAGGAAAAUUUGUUUGUAUUUUUUAUUUAUAUUUUAUAUUUUUGUACAUAUUGUUAGGGGUCAGCAUUUUUUUAAUGAUCUCUGAUAACCAAACCAGCCUUUGGAGCGUUCUCUGUCCUAUUUCUGACUUUACUUGUGGUGUGACCAUGUUCAUUAUAAUCUCAAAGGAGAAAAAUAACAUUGUAAAAAAAGCAACAACAACAACCACCAAAAAAUCUUAUUCUGGGCAUUCCAGUAACUUUUUUUUGUGUAUGUACUUUAGCUGUACUACAAGUAGUUGGUUUGUAUGAGAUGGUUAAAAAGGCGAAAGAUAAAAAGGUUUCUUUUUUUUUUUCUUUUUUUUCUAUGAAGUUGCUGUUUAUUUUUUGGCCUGUUUGAUGUAUGUGUGAAACAAUGUUGUCCAACAAUAGUUGUUCUAACAACA